GUAAGGAUAGUGUGUAGGAGAGAAUGCGGACGUAAGGAUAGUGUGUAGGAGAGAAUGCGGACGUAAGGAUAGUGUGUAGGAGAGAAUGGGGAUGUAAGGAUAGUGUGUAGGAGAGAAUGUGAUGUUAGGAUAGUGUGUAGGAGAGAAUGCGAUGUAAGGAUAGUGUGUAGGAGAGAAUGCGGAUGUAAGGAUAGUGUGUAUGAGAGAAUGGGGACGUAAGGAUAGUCUGUAUGAGAGAAUGGGGACGUAAGGAUAGUCUGUAUGAGAGAAUGGGGACGUAAGGAUAGUGUGUAUGAGAGAAUGGGGAUGUAAGGAUAGUGUGUAGGAGAGAAUGGGGACGUAAGGAUAGUCUGUUUGAGUCAGCACUGAGCUCUUAAUUUACCUUUUUUCCAAACUCCAAAGGCACCGUGUUGUCAUCCUCACCGUGUAAGAUGAGGAGGGGAGAAGAUAGGAAUUUAACACUGGGGACAAGUAGAAGAAAAGCAUUCAGUUCAGGAAUUAUAUGUUGGGAUUUCUCUUCUUCUAAGUUAAAGCUUUAGCAAAAAUGAGAUUUGUCUCAAAAUACAAGAUCUCUCUUCCCUUCCCUCCUAGGAAUGACAACUUCAACAAAUAUAAUUUCAUAUAGUAACUUUUUUUCCUUCCGGGCAAGAUUAUCUCUCUUCUGUUUACUCAUACAAUUUAAUUAGGUAUUUAAUUAAUUUCUAUGUGAUUUUUUUAAAUAGGAAGGAAAGUACUAAAAGCACUGCAUUUGUACAGUUAAAAGAACCUCAUCUUUUUCCUUAUUCUACCUUAUUUCAUAAUAUCUGGGAUAUUUUAACUAAAAGACUAAAUAAAAGAAACAAAACAACUCAAAACUCAAAAAUACAAGAACUAGCACAGGACUGAAGAGAACUCUUUGUAGCAAUGUAUUUACUUUCCUCAUAAAUGUGCAGAGGGACUCACGAUUAACAGGUUUUAUCAGCUUCCUGGUCAACCUCCUAGUCUGGUAAUUCAGAAAGGCUACAGCACGAAGAAGACUUGUUCCUCAUUCUAAUAACUUUCUCAGACAAUACUUCCCAAAUUCUGGUACCCAUCCACCGCAUCACAAUGACUCACUGUUACUCCUAAGAAGGUUGGAUCCCUCAGGUGUGUCGACAUUAAGUACUGAUAACAGCCACCUACUGGAGGCACUCUUAAAGUCUCCAGCUGCGAGAGGCCAACUUGCCAAAUUCUGGUCUUUGGACUUGCUGUUGGGUCAAUGGGCUGAAUGGGGGGUGAGUUUUGGUUACAUGGGGAAUAAGGCCUAGAAGUCAGGGAUCCCCCUGACUUAAAGGAUCCUUUAAAGGUCCUAUAAUCCUAAAUCUACAACUCCCUUUAUGACUUUGGAGAAAGUAUUGAAUUAGUGAAGUCCUCAAAUCAGACAGUAGGAAAAUAUCAAACACUAAAAAUUUGUGAACACAUUACCUCAAAGUUUAGUGCCCGUCUAAGAAUUCUCAUCUACCCAUUCAGUAAGUCACAUGAUAGUUGCCCUCCAGAAUCCCAUAGAUAGAGUAAUAACGGACAUCUCUCCAUCGUUGGCUUACUUUUCAUCGUUAGGGAAGACUAUUUUGUCUUUUCUCAGUGCAUCCAUAAGCGCGCGUAAAAAUCCUGGAAGUUUCCGAUAAAUCUAUUUUUUAAGAAGAAAAAAAAUUAAACAUGGCCUAUAUCUGUGUCAUUUGUUAUGGCUUCCUACACGAACUAUACUAAUGGAGAGAGUAGCAACUUUCUACAUAUAAUAAACUUCUUUAAAAAACAAACCUCAUGAUUUUAAAGUAACUCGUCAUUGUAGGGAAAAUGGAAAACACAAAAAGGAAGAAGAGGUGAUAUAUAUAUAUAUAUAUGUAUAUAUAUAUACACACACACACACACACACAGUGGAAUAUUACUCAGCCGUAUCCAUAUAUAUAUACCACCUCUUCAUUAUCCAUUCAUCAGCUGAUGGACAUUUGGCUUCUUUCCAUAGUUUAGGAAUCAGAAUUUUUGACCAAUCAGAAUAUUCUCUUCAGUAACUAGACAGGUUAAUUAUGUUCACUGUAGAAGCAAUUUUUAGAUUAUGCAUAUCACUGCUCCUUUACAAGCAUGAAGAAAAAGAGUUAGUAGUGCUAUUUGUAUUUUAAAGAAAAAUAGGAAGCAAAAACAACAAAAUGUUAACAGUGAUUAUCUGUGGAUGGUGGGGAUUAUGUGUGAUUUGUUUCUUCUUUCUUCCUUUUUGCACCACCUUGGCCUUUGAGACUCCACAGAACCUGGCUCUUGCCCAUCUGUCCUCUCACUAAGCCCACUCCCAUCCACCCUCGGGCCCUGCUGCCUUCUGCUCUGGACAAAUCAGGCUCAAACUUACCUCAGGGCCUUUGCCUUUCCUUUCCCCCAGCUCAAGACCUCCAGAUUUUCCCAUGACAGCCUCUUAUCAUGCAAGUCUCAGCUCAGAUGAUAGUCCUUAGAAAAGCUUUCUGUACCCGCCCCCUGCCGGUCACUCCCUGUCACAGCACUUCUCACUCCUGAAAACCAGCUUAUUGCGUACUUGUCUUCUGCCUGUCUUCCCGGACUCUUCAGAGUUAUGGCACUCCACUGAUAAUAAAAAGAGUUAAUGGCCAUUCAGUGCUCACUUUGUCCCAGGCACUAUUACAGAUGUUUUUCAUAUUCUAAUUUAUAUAGUUAUCACAAUCAUCUGGAAUAGAUUAUUAUUACCCCCAUUUUACAGAUGAGGCCAUUAGAGCGUUAAAAGCAAUUAAUCCAAGGUUAUACAGCUGUUAAGUGACAGCCUUGGAAACCAAACCCAGGAAGUCUGACACCAAAGUUAUGGUUUUUGAAAACAGCGUGAUACAACAAAACCUCUCUACUUCUAAAUCAUAAAAGUACCUAUUAAACUGAGAGUUCCUGACCUUUUAAAUUAAAUUCCAAACUUAAAAAUAUGGGAAGAUUCCCCACUUCUAAUAAUAGAAGAGUCAUUACAAACCAAACCUUUUGCCCAAGACAACUAGAAAAGGUGGGGGAAAAAUAUUUUAAAAACCUUUCCGUGAAGGUGUCAGAGAGCUGCCAAGGCAUCUUGAGUGGUCUAGAUCCCAGAGAGAAGGGAAUCCCAGAGAGGUGAAACUGACAUUUGACACCACUCUUCUCCUUGAGACACGGCUGGCAAGUCAGGAGAAAGCAAACAGCAGAGGCAAAAGAACACAAAUAGAAACAGAUGGCACAAAUAGAAAAGAACAUAGUAAGACCCUCAGCUCUUUGGGCAACUAAUCUUUGAUAAAGCAGGAAAAAACUUCCAGUGGAAAAAAGA
Molecule: long non-coding RNA, 3292 nt
Organism: Ailuropoda melanoleuca (giant panda)
Lineage: Eukaryota; Metazoa; Chordata; Mammalia; Carnivora; Ursidae
Exons: 3
Source: RefSeq, a predicted model, not a curated record